GUAGUCUGCAACUCGACUACAUGAAGCUGGAAUCGCUAGUAAUCGCGAAUCAGAAUGUCGCGGUGAAUACGUUCCCGGGUCUUGUACACACCGCCCGUCACACCAUGGGAGUCGGAAAUGCCCGAAGUCAGUGACCCAACCGCAAGGAGGGAGCUGCCGAAGGCAGGUCCGGUAACUGGGGUGAAGUCGUAACAAGGUAAC
This 201-nucleotide ribosomal RNA is filed under the name uncultured bacterium. RNAcentral's name for it is "partial 16S ribosomal RNA". It matches the Rfam family "Bacterial small subunit ribosomal RNA", at positions 1300 to 1500 of the family's 1533-position model. The record is from RNAcentral.